Molecule: ribosomal RNA, 301 nt
Filed under: uncultured bacterium
Lineage: Bacteria
Description: partial 16S ribosomal RNA
Rfam family: Bacterial small subunit ribosomal RNA
Source: RNAcentral
CAGCCGCCGCGGGAAUACGUAGGUGGCAAGCGUUGUCCGGAAUUAUUGGGCGUAAAGGGCUCGCAGGCGGUUUCUUAAGUCUGGUGUGAAAGCCCCCGGCUCAACCGGGGAGGGUCAUUGGAAACUGGGAAACUUGAGUGCAGAAGAGGAGAGUGGAAUUCCACGUGUAGCGGUGAAAUGCGUAGAGAUGUGGAGGAACACCAGCGGCGAAGGCGACUCUCUGGUCUGUAACUGACGCUGAGGAGCGAAAGCGUGGGGAGCGAACAGGAUUAGAUACCCCAGUAGUCCCUGUCUCUUAUAC